This 208-nucleotide unclassified non-coding RNA is filed under the name Hevea brasiliensis (rubber tree). Lineage: Eukaryota; Viridiplantae; Streptophyta; Magnoliopsida; Malpighiales; Euphorbiaceae. The record is from RNAcentral.
UUUUUUUUUUUUUUUGUUUUUCUUGUAACAUCUGAAAAUAUGAAUUACUUUAUGCAACUCGUGAUGUGUGUAGUGAGUUACAUGUGAGAUAGAGGCAAUGGUCUCAUUGCUUUCUUUGUAAAAAUUUAGAAAUGAUCAUAGAAGCAUACAAUGUAUCCUAACUGGUCUUUAUCCAUCUUCAAAGGUAUAUGAAAUAAGAAAGUCUCGG